RNAcentral lists this ribosomal RNA (163 nucleotides) under Deschampsia cespitosa (tufted hair grass). RNAcentral's name for it is "5.8S ribosomal RNA". It matches the Rfam family "5.8S ribosomal RNA". From Rfam's summary of the family: 5.8S ribosomal RNA (5.8S rRNA) is a component of the large subunit of the eukaryotic ribosome. It is transcribed by RNA polymerase I as part of the 45S precursor that also contains 18S and 28S rRNA. Functionally, it is thought that 5.8S rRNA may be involved in ribosome translocation. Lineage: Eukaryota; Viridiplantae; Streptophyta; Magnoliopsida; Poales; Poaceae. The record is from RNAcentral.
ACACGACUCUCGGCAACGGAUAUCUCGGCUCUCGNAUCGAUGAANAACGUAGCGAAAUGCGAUACCUGGUGUGAAUUGCAGAAUCCCGCGAACCAUCGAGUCUUUGAACGCAAGUUGCGCCCGAGGCCAUUCGGCCNAGGGCACGCCUGCCUGGGCGUCACGC